This 5595-nucleotide long non-coding RNA is filed under the name Vitis vinifera (wine grape). RNAcentral's name for it is "long non-coding RNA (VVIN_LNC003704)". Lineage: Eukaryota; Viridiplantae; Streptophyta; Magnoliopsida; Vitales; Vitaceae. The record is from RNAcentral.
UAGACAUCGUCAAAGAGUUGCUCCAGAUCUCCUCUGACUCAAUAGAAUUGCUUAGCAAACACGGUGAGAACAUUCUUCAUGUGGCAGCCAAGUAUGGUAAAGAUAAUGUAGUCGAUUUUGUGCUGAAAAAAAAAGGGGUUGAGAACCUUAUAAAUGAGAAGGACAAAGGUGGAAACACGCCACUGCAUUUGGCUACCAGGCAUGCACAUCCUAAGGUCGUAAACUAUUUAACAUGGGAUAAAAGAGUUGAUGUGAAUCUUGUGAAUAAUGAAGGCCAGACUGCUUUCGACAUUGCUGUAUCAGUGGAGCAUCCAACUUCAUUUCACCAGGUAUAUAUGACGAUUUGCAUCUUGUUUUCUGAAUUAAGGGUACUACUAUUGGUUCCACCUUGAACUGCAUGCAUUGUUAAUGCUAUGGCAUUUUCCUUCUUAGAUGCAUGCAUGUGAAUUAUUGAAAGGAUCAAUCAGGACAACAUAGUUUGUAUUUCUUUCCUAGAAGGACCGACUGAUAUUAAUAAGACCUAGUUCAACUAAAAGAAGAUCAAUUUGAUCCCAUGAUAUCCUAAAAGUCAAGAAAAUUAUGGAGCCUAACUCAAUCACCAUCACCCUCGCCCAGAUUAGGGCGACUCAACCAAGGUUAGGCUAGGUUUCUCCAGCAAGUGCAUAUACUCUUGAUGCCCGGAAAGACUUAUGGGAAUAAUUUUUUGCAUCAUACUAAAAAGUUUUCAGUGUAGAGAACUGCUAUAUCAUGUGCGCUUGUGGUUGCUCUCUUGCUGCUUCACGUUGCUUAAUUUCGUACUUCUUGUGGGUGUUCAUUGAAUUUAUAGGGAAAAGAGAAUGGCUUCCCAACAAAAUAUUUCGAAACCCAACUCAUGGAAUUAUAGUCUACUUAUACUUUCUAUAGUUAUUGUUACGACGCAUACAUUUGAUUUUCUUUCUUUCUCACGAUUGCAUUAACAGCAACAUUUUUAUCUCUACCACGCAGAGACUAGUUUGGACAGCACUCAAGUCUUAUGGUGCACGACCAGCCGGAAAUUCAAAGGUCCCACCAAAACCGUCUAAAUCACCUAAUACGGACGAGUACAAGGACAGGGUAAACACUCUUUUGUUGGUUUCGACCCUUGUUGCCACCGUGACAUUUGCUGCUGGUUUUACCAUUCCGGGAGGCUACAACAGCUCUGAUCCAGGUGCCGGCUUGGCUAUCUUUCUGAUGAGAAAUAUGUUCCAUAUGUUCGUCAUCUGCAAUACCAUUGCUAUGUAUACCGCCAUCCUCGCGGCAAUCAUCCUCAUCUGGGCACAGUUAGGUGAUCUCAAUUUGAUGGAUACUGCCUUCACAUGGGCAUUGCCAUUCUUGGGGCUGGCCCUUUAUGCAAUGUCCUUGGGCUUCAUGGCAGGUGUUUCCUUGGUGAUCAGUAAUCUUCAUUGGCUUGCAAUUGUUGUCUUCAUUAUUGGAACCAUCUGCCUUGUCAGUCUCCCAGUACCCUUUCUUUUACUCUUCCUCCCAAGUGAGUCUACUAAUCAUAUCCUUAGGUACAUCUCCUAUUAUCCGUUCCUUAUACUGGUAUGGGCAUCUGAAAGCUCCGAAAUCAAACAGGAAGAUUAGCUUGCCCUGUUGAUGAUGUAUAUUUUAUAGACCGUAAAAGCAACUCUUUUUUUGGUAACUCAUAUUUUAGUAAACCUUAAGAACCUAAAUUCCCCACGUGUUUGACAUAGAUAGGAAAUUUUGAACCUAAUCUUAACUUGAGUUUGAUGCUAGUCGCACGUAUUGAUGACGGAUUUGAUGGACAUUACGUUCAAACCCGCUAAAAGACUCAAACCCACGUAACUUUGAAUUGGUUAAAAUAAUUUUAUAAAGUGAAACGAUUAAACUUCUUACUUUAUGGGAUUGGUGUUUGUGCCUCCAAAUAGUUUCCAAGAUGUUCCAAGCGAGUUUGGAGAAGAGUGUUAGGAUUUCCUAUAAUUAUGCAUAAUAAUUAUAAGUCUAAUUCUUACAGAACAAUCAUAACCCUAGUCUUAGAACUUUGUGAUUUUCACAAAGUAAAUAAAUAAUUAAAAAAAAGAGUUAUUAAAUUCUAACUUUUGAACAAUAUCUAAAAAAAUAAAGUUUAAACCAAAAGCCCUAAUAAUAUCAAAAUCUUAUCCUAAUUAUCAUUCUUUGCCUGAACAAAAGAUACCCGAAAAAUUGUUAAUAAAGGGAAAUGAGCUUAAAACCUAAUAAGAAAUAUUAAUACAGUUUCAUGGAUAAAAUAUUUUUAAUAAAGAUUAUAAAUAGAAUAUAUAAUGUAUAAUCAUUUUUAUAAAUAAAAAAAUUUUAGUUCAAACAUGUAAUACAUUCAAACUUUUCAACAAAACAAUUUUAUAUCAAUGUCAAAACAAUUUUAUAUUAAAUUCAAAUAAAAUAUAUUCACAAUAUUUUUACUCUGGCUAUCAUUUUAUCAAAUAGUGCUCAAUUAUGUAAGACUUUACAAAUGAGUGGCUAGUCUUAAAUUUGUUUCUUUUAAGACGAAGCCAAAUACUACUAAUAUUAGUAAUCUCUAACCAAACGUAUAAAGAUUGGAGUUCAAAUCAAUUACAUUCUUUAUCAUAAAAUAUAAAUGUCAACUAUUAUAUUUCAUUGAUAGGGGUUAAAAAGUCAACUAUCGUAUCCAAUUGAUAAGGGCUAAAAAGUCGACUAUUAUAUCAUGUUGCCUAUGGCCAAACAAAGCAAAGUCAAACACUUUGUUUUAUUUAUUCAAACUUAUAAAAAUAUAAUAUUUUCACGUGUUUAUGUUAUAAACAAAAGAAAAGGUCUUAAUAUAUUUUUCAUACAAAAUAUAUUUGAUUAAUGCAUAAAAACAAAAAUAACAUUUUACACAUUUUAAAAUAACAUAUUAAAAUAAAAUCAUUUUUUUUUUACAAAAUCUAUAUUAAUUUCCCUGACCUUAAAAAACACUUAAAAUCCUUGAAGAAUUUAAUUCUGUAUAAACAACUUCUCAUCUAAUAACAUAAGAAAAACAAUAUUUAUUACUAUUAACUAUUUGAGUAAAAUUAUAAGUUUGAUAAUCCUAAAAAUUUAUAAAUUAAUAUUAAUAUUUAUAAGUAUCAAUGAUAAUUUUAUUAAUAUAUUCUUUAUUUAAGUAAAAUUAAUAAAUUUCUAAUUUAUAAAAAAAAUUUUCUCAAAUUUAAUUCUAAAAAAUAAAAAUACAUUACUAAUUUAAUUAAACUACAAUUUUUAUUUCAUUAAUUAAAUUUUAUUUAUUUAUUAACUUAACAUCCAUCCUCAUUAGCACUAUUAUACCAUUAACUAACCUUGUAGUUCACCCAACGACUCUCAACACCUAAUUAAUAUUAUAUGUGUUUUCCUCGUUCUCCCAAUAAAGGUAGGACUCGCUCACUUAUCUUUUUCUUAUUUUAUUUCUUUUCUUUCUUGCACAAACCACACUCAUGGCUACAUUCCUUUUUUUUUUUUUCCUACACACUUCCAAAAAUCACACCGUACACACUCGCCAAGAACCAAAAGCUAAUUUUUUUUUAAACACCCAAAUUCUUUUUCUUUUUUUUUCUCUUUUAUGUUGUCAUACCAAAUAAGAAAAAUUAUUUGGUAACAUACCAAAUCCAUUUUUUCUUUUUCUCAAUACCCUAAGCAUUUAAUAUAUAUAUAUAUAUAUAUAUAUAUAUAUAUAUAUAUAUAUAUAUAUAUAUAUAUAUAUAUAUAUAUAUAUAUAUAUAAAUAAAAACAAAAACUAUAAAAUAAUGAAAUGGUUAAAAAUUUUGAAAUUAAAAAAAAUAAAUAAAGACAGAGAAAGAGAAUAAAAAAAANNNNNNNNNNNNNNNNNNNNNNNNNNNNNNNNNNNNNNNNNNNNNNNNNNNNNNNNNNNNNNNNNNNNNNNNNNNNNNNNNNNNNNNNNNNNNNNNNNNNGCUCACAUAUCUCUUUCUCUUUUUUUAUUUUUUUUUUCUCGCACACAACACACACACGGAGACACUCUUUUUUUUUUUUUUCUCACACACACACAAAAAUCACACUCCACACACUCUCCAAGAAACAAAAAAUAUUUUUUUUUUAAACACACACACUCUUUUUCUUUUUUUUUCUCUUUUUUGUUGUCACACCAAAUAAAAAAAAAUAUUUUUUUACAUACCAAAAACAUUUUUUUUUUUUCUCUAUACCCCAAGCAUUUUAUAUAUAUAUAUAUAUAUAUAUAUAUAUAUAUAUAUAUAUAUAUAUAUAUAUAUAUAUAUAUAUAUAUAUAUAUAUAUAUAUAUAUAUUGAAGUUUUAAGAUAUAUUAUUUAUUUAUUAUUGUUUUAGAUCUACUAAAAAAAAUAUUCAGAAUUUCCUAUCUCUAUCAAUAAAUCAACAUUUAUUCAUAAAUUUUCACUCUUUUUUAUUUAGAAUUUAAAUAAACAAAUUAUAUUUUAAAUUGAGAUUUUUUUUAAAAUAUCUAAGUGUUUAAAAUUAAUUAUCAAAUCUAAAAUAUUAAUUUAAGGAUUAAAAUUCUACUUGGAAAACUAAUUUUCAAAUUCUAAACCUUUAAAUUUUCAAUCUAAAAUAAUAUUGUAGCAGUUAAAUGGAUGAAUAAUUGAAAAUCAUGACAUAAUUAAUGAUUUUUUAAAGAAGAAGAAGAAAACCCUAACUGUAUCCUAAAGCUCAAAAUAAAAUCUUAAAGUUAUAUUUGAUUCUCAUAGUUGAAAAAAAAGAAAAAGAAUUAUUAAGGAAAAUGAUUUUCUAAUAUGUUGUUUUAUCAUGAAAUAUAUGAAAGAAAGUGAAAUAUAAUUAAAAUUAAUAAGAAACUUAUAUAAUUUAAAAUUAUUUAAUUUUUAUCUAGAAUAGUUAAAUAAGUGAAAUGCAUUUGAAGUAAAAUAUAAAAACAAGGAAAAAGUGGAAUUUGAUUCANNNNNNNNNNNNNNNNNNNNNNNNNNNNNNNNNNNNNNNNNNNNNNNNNNNNNNNNNNNNNNNNNNNNNNNNNNNNNNNNNNNNNNNNNNNNNNNNNNNNUUCUUUUAGAUAUUUAUUAUUAUUAUUAUUAUUAUUAUUAUUAUUAUUAUUAUUAUUAUUAUUAUUAUUAUUAUUAUUAUUAUUAUUAUUAUUAUUUUAUUAAAAUGAGAAAAUCAUUUUUCUUAACAUUUUUUUCUUUACUUAGUAUUUUCUAUGGAACCAAACAUAACCUUUAUGUAUGAUGAAAAGACGUUGGAAAAACUACUAGCCAUGGAGCUAGUCGACCAAAAAGAUAAACAUGGAAGGACUUCACUUCAUUAUGCAGCAUCGAUUGGAUAUCUUGAAGGAGUUCAAACGCUCUUAGGGCAAUCUAACUUUGAUCAAUAUCAAAGGGACGACGAAGGCUUCUCACCCAUCCAUGUUGCAUCAAUGAGAGGCAAUGUAGACAUCGUCAAAGAGUUGCUCCAGGUCUCCUCUGGCUCAAUAGAAUUGCUUGGAAAACACAGUGAGAACAUUCUUCAUGUGGCAGCCAAGUAUGGUAAAGAUAAUGUUGUCAAUUUUGUGCUGAAAAAAAAGGCUUGAGAACCUUAUAAAUGAGAAGGACAAAGGUGGAAACACGCCACUGCAUUCGGCUACCAUGCAUGCACAUCCUAAGGUCGUAAACUAUUUAACAUGGGAUAAAAG